AGAGUUUGAUCCUGGCUCAGGACGAACGCUGGCGGCGUGCCUAAUACAUGCAAGUAGAACGCUGAAGAGAGGAGCUUGCUCUUCUUGGAUGAGUUGCGAACGGGUGAGUAACGCGUAGGUAACCUGCCUUGUAGCGGGGGAUAACUAUUGGAAACGAUAGCUAAUACCGCAUAACAAUGGAUGACACAUGUCAUUUAUUUGAAAGGGGCAAUUGCUCCACUACAAGAUGGACCUGCGUUGUAUUAGCUAGUAGGUGAGGUAAUGGCUCACCUAGGCGACGAUACAUAGCCGACCUGAGAGGGUGAUCGGCCACACUGGGACUGAGACACGGCCCAGACUCCUACGGGAGGCAGCAGUAGGGAAUCUUCGGCAAUGGGGGCAACCCUGACCGAGCAACGCCGCGUGAGUGAAGAAGGUUUUCGGAUCGUAAAGCUCUGUUGUAAGUCAAGAACGGGUGUGAGAGUGGAAAGUUCACACUGUGACGGUAGCUUACCAGAAAGGGACGGCUAACUACGUGCCAGCCGCCGCGGUAAUUC
RNAcentral lists this ribosomal RNA (536 nucleotides) under uncultured bacterium. Its description in RNAcentral is "bacterial SSU rRNA". It matches the Rfam family "Bacterial small subunit ribosomal RNA", at positions 8 to 526 of the family's 1533-position model. The record is from RNAcentral.